Molecule: long non-coding RNA, 3580 nt
Organism: Papio anubis (olive baboon)
Lineage: Eukaryota; Metazoa; Chordata; Mammalia; Primates; Cercopithecidae
Source: Ensembl
UUUUAACUGUGAUGACACCUCAGUAAAAUGUUAUGCAACUUCGGUGUCUUUUAAAUAUUCUGUGAUACUUUCAGAGGAAAUUUUCCAGUACAUAAAAUCAUCUCUUGUGUUACCCGAGAGAAUGACAACGCUGUUUUAAAAAUUACACUGAAAUUCCUAGAAAAUCAAACCAAACCAAAAACCUCACUGUUUUUUAUUUUCCUGGUAAAUAAAUAUUUUUUCUUUGUCAUAUUUAGGUUGUGGUGAGAGUUACGUAAUAUGUCUGAGAGUACAUUAUUUACCAUAAAUCUUUGUACAGACACUCCUAUUUUUAUUAGCUAUUUUCAAAAUAUCAGAAACUAAUAAUUCCCCUUCAUUUCCACAGAGCAAUAGUGAUCCUAGACCAAAUUCUUUCUUUUUCUCUCCAAAUUGGUUAUGAUCCUACUUCUUCAGGUUGGUCCACUAUAUUUAGGCAUGAAGGACAAGGAGAGACAAGCUGUCACUGGUCAACAGCAGCAGCAACAACAACAAAACAGAUACAAGGGCUUUUCAGGUUAGUCCUAGAGAAUUUCACAACAUCCCAGGGUUUUCACCGCUUCCGUGAGUAAAUUUUCUUUCCUGCUCCCAUGCAGGAAAUGGUUCAGCGUUGGCAAGCCAUUCAGGCCCUCGUUACUGCUAUGUUAUGAAUGUGCCCCCCUGAAUUUCAUGCAUGGGUUUCCAAAUUUCCUAUGUGGCAGUAUUGAGAGGUGGAACAUUUAAGAAGUGAGUGGUUCAUGAGUGCUCUGCCCUCCUGAGUGGAUUAAUCUUCUCAUGACUUAAUAAAUUGAUGGGUUAAUGGGUUAAUGGGCAAUCAUAGGAGUGGAACUGGUGGCUUUCUAAGAGGAAGAGAGGCCUGAGCUAGCAUGGUAGCAUGCUCAGCCCCCUCACCGUGUGAUGGUCUGCACUGCCUCAGGACUCUGCAUAAUCCUCACCAGGAGGAAGGCUCUCACCAGACACCGAGCCAUGCCCUUGGACUUCCAAGCCACCAGAAUUUCCAUAAAAAUAAUUCUAUACUAAGAGGUAUAUCACCAUUAUUUCUCAAGCUGGAGGCUCCAUCCUUACCUUGGGCAUUCCCAAGUGUCCAAUCCGAUUGUUAACAACUGUCACAAUUUAUGAAGUUCUUUGAAUAUACCUUAUCUGGAUGGUUGGUAAAUCAGAAUAAUAAGGAUAUUUGGCCCUUGAAUUAAUUAGUAGCUGCUUGAUUUGACUAAUCUCUUCUAGUCCCUACUUCAGCUGGUACUAUCUUACAAAUCUUACUUAAGGAAAUGGCUGACUCAAAGUUUUCUAGUCAUUUUGCUUCUUGUUACCAAUUGUAUUAGUUCUGUCUCAUACUGCUAAUAGAGACCUACCUGAGACUCGGUAAUUUAUAAAGGAAAGAGGUUUAAUUGACUCACAGUUCAGCUGGCUGGGGAGGCCUCAGGAAACUUACAAUCAUGGCAGAAGGGGAAGCAAACACAUCCUUCUUCACAUGGCAACAAGAAGGAGAAGUGCCAAGCAAAGUGAGAAAAGCCCCUUAUAAAACCAUCAGAUCUCAUAAGAACUCACUAUCAUGAGAACAGCAUGGGGGUAACCACCCCCAUGAUUCAAUUACUCCCACCAGGACCCUCCCAUGACAUGUGGGGAUUAUGGGAACUACAGUUCAAGAUGAAAUUUGGGUGAGGACACAGCCAAAUCAUAUCAUCAGUGAUCCCUUUUCUCAUGUACCUAAUGCAGGAAGAAAAUUGAGGUUUUACAUUCUGAAGUGCUAUUCCAUCUUUAAAAAUCAGAACUUUCUUUAUGCUUGAAUGUCCCAUUCCAUAUUUUAAUGUAAGUGUUUUUCAAUCAAGUAGAUUUCUUUGUAUUUUUUUUUACACAGGUAAUAUUUGAAUAUAUGAUUGUUCAGAAAUAAUUGAAAGAUAUAGGUAAGUAAAAUAGAAUUAAAAAGUCACUUAUACCAACAACAGCCUGGAAGUAAUCACUGUUAUCUUUAUCUUACUGUAUAUUCUUCAGAUUUCAUAUUAUUGUUAUUUGUAAACUUAAAGACAUCAUGCUUCUUUUGUUUAGCAAUAUAUUAUGAACCUGCUUCUUUGCCAGUAAAUAUUAUUUUAAAACAUUAUUUUAAAAGGGUGUUCUAUUACAUGAAUAUGCCUUACUUUACUUAAUAAAGCCCUCAUUUUUGGAUGUUCAAGUUCUUUUAAUUUUUUUUUUUUUUUUUUUUGUGAGACGGAGUCUCGCUCUGUCACCCAGGCUGGAGUGCAGUGGUGCGAUCUCGGCUCACUGCAAGCUCUGCCUCCCGGGUUCACGCCAUUCUCCUGCCUCAGCCUCCCGAGUAGCUGGGACUACAGGCGCCCGCCACCACGCCCAGCUAAUUUUUUGUAUUUUCGGUAGAGACGAGGUUUCACUGUGUUAGGCAGGAUGGUCUCGAUCUCCUGAACUCGUGAUCCACCCACCUCGGCCUCCCAAAGUGCUGGGAUUAUAGGCGUGAGCCACCGCGCCGGGCCAAGUUCUUUUAAUUUUUUAAAAAUAUUGCAAACAUAGCUACACAAUUUAACAAACACAGUUGCAAAAACAGGUAAAUGUUUGAGUGUAUCAUGAACUGCUUUCUUCAAAUUAAUUGGGAAAUAUGUAAUGAAUUGAGAUGACUUAAAAUUGACCCCUGUUGCCAUUUUCCUAAUCAUGGAAAAGAGUAAAAUAUAUGUUACCUUUCCAACCACAUCAUAGAAAAAUGCCACACAACGAUGCUACACUGAGGCAUCUAGGGAGUCAAUUAUGCAUCCUCAAACUCCCAGUAGGACUAAUUAGGUUUGCAUAACCUGUUUCACCAUGUGGUUUGGUUCACAAGGUAUGGACUGCUUAUGACCAAAUGACUUAUUAAAACAUAUGUACUCAAACCAGUUAAAAACAAUAAUAAUAAAGUUCAACUUGUAUAAAUCUACUGGGAAAAUAAACUACAAUUUAUAGGACAUCUGAUAGGAAAAAUAGCAGCUUUUAUUCCUGUACAUUAGCUGUGAAUUGUGAUUCCAUUUUUGGCUAGAUCCUGACUGGAGCAUACAGGAAGCAUGCAGUGAUCAGUUUGCUCCCAGAGUCCUCAUGGUAAAACACAAGACAGAUGAGCUAAGGAUUGCAUUGUGGAAGGGGUGACAGGGGGACCAGGGCCACAUAGUUUCUGUUUCUUCAUUCUCUUUUCUAUGUUAAGAAAAGGAGAGAGAGAGAGAGAGCAUGAGGAAGAAAAAGGAGAGAGGCAGAAAGAGAGAGAGGGGCACUGAUUGACUUGGCCCAGGAAAUACUCAAGCAGAUAAUUUUUGGUUAUUUCAUCUUUUAGAUCCCUGUGUCUUUGACUCUUAGAGGAUCAGUUGGAGCAAACAAUUUAGAAAGUAAACCCACUAAGCAAUAAGCUUUAGGCAAUGCGUUUGGAGCCCAUCAGAGAGUAUAACUAUUUUGGUAGUAAUUAUAAGUGUACAGUGGAAAAGUAAAACUCACAUGUCCAGAUCUGUCUCUGAUUACAAGUCUGAAAGAUAGAGAAAAUGAGCAGGAUAAUUUAAAGGCAGCUGGCAAGUGCAGUUUUAUUUCCAGAUGACGUUGC